AGCCUCGAGGUGUUUAACAUGUUGAAUUGCAAAUUCGAAGAAGCAGCUACAGCUGCCGGGGCUU
This is a non-coding RNA of Nannospalax galili (Upper Galilee mountains blind mole rat), 64 nucleotides long. Lineage: Eukaryota; Metazoa; Chordata; Mammalia; Rodentia; Spalacidae. The record is from the annotation of a RefSeq genome assembly.